RNAcentral lists this ribosomal RNA (510 nucleotides) under uncultured Nitrospirota bacterium. Its description in RNAcentral is "bacterial SSU rRNA". It matches the Rfam family "Bacterial small subunit ribosomal RNA", at positions 147 to 661 of the family's 1533-position model. The record is from RNAcentral. Lineage: Bacteria; Pseudomonadati; Nitrospirota.
CUCCGCGAAAGCGGAGCUAAUACCGCAUAAGACCACAGGCUGAGAAGUCAGUGGUAAAAGUUUCCUGAUGAAAGUUGUGGAAUGCUUGAGGAUGGGCCUGCGGCCUAUCAGGUAGUCGGUAGGGUAAUAGCCUACCAAGCCAAAGACGGGUAGCCGGGCUGAGAGGUCGGACGGCCACACUGGAACUGAGACACGGUCCAGACUCCUACGGGAGGCAGCAGUGGAGAAUUUGCACAAUGGGCUAAAGCCUGAUGCAGCGACGCCGCGUGGAGAAUGAAGGUCUUCGGGUUGUAAACUCCUUUUCUCAGGAAAGAUGAUGACGGUACCUGAGGAAUAAGCCACGGCUAACUCUGUGCCAGCAGCCGCGGGAAGACAGAGGUGGCAAGCGUUGUUCGGAAUUACUGGGCUUAAAGGGCGCCGUAGGCGUCCCGACAAGUCAGAUGUGGAAUCUUCUCGCUUAACGAGAAAAUUGCAUCUGAAACUGUCGGGAUUGAGUCAGAGAGGGGAGGG